UAGUCUUUGGUGCCAUUCCUCUAGUUAUCCAUAUUUGGUCAAUUCUAGUCCAUGUCAUCUUUCUGAAGCCAAGAUGACAUGGACUAGAAUUGACCAAAUAUGGAUAACUAGAGGAAUGGCACCAAAGAUAAA
Podarcis lilfordi (Lilford's wall lizard) is the source of this 132-nucleotide non-coding RNA. The record is from the annotation of a GenBank genome assembly. NCBI's taxonomy places the organism in Eukaryota, Metazoa, Chordata, Lepidosauria, Squamata, Lacertidae.